GCUAGUUGCUGUAUGGGGGAAGCCAUUUUAUUUUCUCUGCGUGAGGUGAGAGCAGCAGUGUAACUUUGAGUAAAAGUUAAAAUCGUAAGAGAAGAUUAAACCAGAAAAGUUUAUAUGGCAUAUUUUCUUUGGAUUUGGUCAGGUUUUUUGUCCUAUGCUGAAGCUGCGUUCAUUUCAGCGUGACGAUUUAAGAUGGCGAGCCUCCAGCGAGAUGAACGUUGAUUGUGAGAUUCGAGUUGAAAACCAACACCUGUGGAAUUGGUGCUUGAAGGACUUGUGCUUUCGUUGACCACAAUGACAGAAUCACUGAUGUCUGGCUCUUCCAACGCCUCCUGAAAUAAGAUUAGAGGGUCCAACUGUAAGUUUCACUCAGUAGACUAAAAGUAGACCAUUACAUUCACUGAUAAUAGCGGUUCUGUUAAUGCAGUGAACACUUACAUUUCUUGAAGAAUUGUGAGUCCUCCUCACAGGUACACCGAGGAGCACAGAGGGCUACGGUACGUUUCAUGUUGACAUCAUGCAUACCCUUCAAAGUCAAGCAAAAAUUAACAUGUUAAACAAGCAAGCCAACUUUAUUGUAUAUACAGUGAAGACCAUGAUGAAGGUAGUUAGUGUUGACAAAUUUUAAAGAUGUGGUUACAUGCGAUUUCACUUUUUUAACUUUAGUUAGUGUGUAAUGUUGCUGCUGGAGCAUAAACAGUAUCUGCAAAGUUACAGCACUGAAAGUUCAAUACAAACGGAGAUAUUGUCUGUUAAAGUUAUGGCAGUUUAAUGCCUACAAAAAUGGCCGGUUUGGACUACAACGAGCUUCUUCCCGGGUUGGUGAUAUCAUAAACCCUUGCUAUUAACAUAAACACGCCCCCGGGAACACGCAACAAAGUGGGCGAGGUCAUGUGGCACAGUAUAAUGGAAGCGGAAGAGUUGUUUACAUCGAACGCGAGCUGCGCGAUGCGACGUGUCAAAAGAUAUAGAACCCAUUAUAAUCUGUGAUAUAUUCUACAUAUUUCUGUAUUUCUACACUGGAUGCAGCGCUGAAGACAGCUUCCAGAAUCUACACGAGUUCAAUGUUGGAUUUGC
Long non-coding RNA from Megalobrama amblycephala (Wuchang bream), 1077 nucleotides. RefSeq lists it as uncharacterized. NCBI's taxonomy places the organism in Eukaryota, Metazoa, Chordata, Actinopteri, Cypriniformes, Xenocyprididae. The record is from RefSeq and is a predicted model, not a curated record. The transcript is spliced from 3 exons.